Molecule: long non-coding RNA, 5952 nt
Organism: Dermochelys coriacea (leatherback sea turtle)
Lineage: Eukaryota; Metazoa; Chordata; Testudines; Dermochelyidae
Exons: 3
Source: RefSeq, a predicted model, not a curated record
CAUGACCAGUGGCUAUAGCACUUUAUAGUUUGCACAUGUGGCACAGAGACAAAGGCCCUAUGUAAGAUCAGGGUUUUACUCUGUGCAGGAGGGUUGACUGCUACACAUAAGGACUUGCAGGACAGAGAGGGAAGGAGGGACUCUGCCCAGCUUAGUCUGUUGAUACACUACAGACUCACAGAAGGAGUUCAUACUAUGGGAGGCACAUGACUCAGUGAUUGGGUCCACUCACUUUCGGUUAGUUACUAGACCAGUUUGCAUCACCCUUUAAUUGAGGGUUUAAGUCUGAUAUUGAUAAACAGAAACAUUCCUUUACACUUUCUGCUUCUGUCAAGGUUCCUUCCCUACUCUGAACUCUAGGGUACAGAUGUGGGGACCUGCAUGAAAGACCCCCUAAGCUUAUUCUUACCAGCUUAGGUUAAAAACUUCCUCAAGGUACACACUUUGCCUUGUCCUUGAACCCUAUGUUGCCGCCACCACCAAGCGCAUUAAAGAACAGGGAAACGAGCCUACUUGGAGACGUCUUCCCCCCUAAAUAUCCCCCAAGCCCUACACCCCCUUUCCUGGGGAAGGCUCGAUAAAAAUGCUCACCAAUUUGCAUAGGUGAACAUAGACCCAAACCCUUGGAUCUUGAGAACAAUGAAAAAAGCAAUCAGGUUCUUAAAAGAAGAAUUUUAAUUAAAGAAAAAGUAAAAGAAUCACCUCUGUAAAAUCAGGAUGGUAAAUACCUUACAGGUAAUCCAAUUCAAAACAUAGAGAAUCCCUCUAGGCAAAACCUUAAGUUACAAAAAGACACAAAAACAGGAAUAUACAUUUCAUUCAGCACAGCUAUUUUACCAGCCAUUAAACAAAAGGAAAUCUAAUGCAUUUCUAGCUAGAUUACUUACUAACUUAAGGAGUUAUGAAGAGCAUUCCUGAUCUGUUCCCGGCAAAAGCAUCACACAGACAGACAGACCCUUUGUUCCUCCCCUCCCCCCCAGCUUUGAUAGUAUCUUGUGUUCUCAUUGGUUAUUUUGGUCAGGAACCAGCGAGGUUAUCUUAGCUUCUUAACCCUUUACAGGUGAAAGGGUUUUGUCUCUGGCCAGGAGGGAUUUUAUAGUUCUGUAUACAGAAAGGUAGUUACCCUUCCCUUUAUAUUUAUGACAGCUUGUUAUAUCAGACACCUAAUAUAAUAAUAGAUAUGGAUAUCUACAAGUGAAACAAAAAUUAAUCUAUCUUUCUUCAAAGUAAACACCUUGAUCCAAAUUGGCAAGUGUUUAAUUUUUAUUUUAUAGUAAUAUUUCAUUGUUGAUUCUUAUGGAAACAUACUUUUCAUGAAUAUGGAUUUUCAUAGUCUUUGUUUAAUUAAACUGCUUUGGCAGGAGAAGGUGAGAAAUGAACUUAAACUCCCUAGAUCCUUGAUUGCCAGGUUGUGUUUUGUUUUUUGUUUUUUUUUUACUUCCAGUGAAAUUGACUUCCAGUGAAAUUGUCUGAAAGAGAACAUCCUGUUUCUAUUGGAUUUAUGGGGAGAGAAUAAAUUAACAAAACAAAUUUUCCAUGACUGCUUCUUCAAAUUCAAGCUAUGGAAAUGGUCAUUACAGUUUAGAGGGAAAAUGUAUGAUUACAAAUAAGCUGUAACAAAAUCAAGUGUAGUAUGGCUAUCAUUGGCCCAAUAUGAAAAAUCAGUUCAAUGUUAAAUUAUUCGAUGCUAUAUGUUUGUGGCAGGUGUCCAUUUAAACACCAAGGAAUUCUUCCUGUUGCUAUUUGUUAUAGAUAACCAGAAUUUUAAUUUUUGAUAUUCUUGGUGGUCCUUCCAAACUCAUAAUGAAAGUAUCUGAUUCCAUUGAAUAAACUGAUAUGAUUAUAAGCACAUUCUACAUAUUAGCAGAGCAUUGGGUCAGCAUUAUCUAAGUAUUUACUUGGCACAGUAUAUCUUAAAUAAUGCAGAGAGAUUUUUCUAAACGCUCCUUUUUAAAAAAAAAAAAAAAAAUCAAACCACAAUGGUAGUCACAUUAGGUGUUAACUAAAGGUGAAUCACAUCAGGCAUUUGUUAGACCCAAAUCCUUUUCUAGUAUAAUUUUAAGGCAAUGACUAAGUGAAAUAUGUCUCGUCUUGAUAAGUAGCUUAUGUGUUUUAGUGCCAACAUUCUGACAAUAAAUUAAUUUUUUUCAGCAAAGUUCUUGGUGUUUUAAAAAAAAUAAAAAGCUUAAUGUUAGAGAGCAAAGGAAAUUUAAUGACUAAUCCAUUUUGAUGGCCAAAAAAACCACUGGAAAUGAAAUUAAUCAAUGUGACAUCUUGUGUGUAAUGUCAAUAUGACUAAUUGAAGGAUUUUAGCUCAGAUUAAAUUGAAUUUCUUAUUAAAACAAACUAGUUUGUGCUUUCUUGUGGUAUUAAAGUUUCAUGGAGAGAUGACAUAGUGAUGAUCAUUUUUAAAGCUUUUAUUCAUUUAUUAUAUUACAGAAGAAUAAUUAUAUUAUAGUCAGCUUUGUGUAGUAUUCUGCAGAAAUUAUGGGAAAAACAAGCAGUGUGGUGUGCAGGUAGAAGAGGCUGCUCUAACUAAGCUGUAGGUUUCCUUCUUCCAAAUGAUACUGCAUUUAUCAUCAAUCGCUUACGCUGGAAGUGGUGUGAAGGUACAAUACAGUGAUUUGAACUUUGGAUAUGUUUUGGCCUUUUGAGGGAGAGGUACCCUAAGGUAUUUGAUUAAAGAAAAACCCAGCAAAGCUCUAAAUGACUCUUUAAAGUUUCUGGUAUAUGAAGCAUAGUAGAGAAGAAAUUUUCAUCUCUCUCCAAAAGAGGUUAUAUCAACUGAAGUCUCCAUGAGACUCUGUUGUUUCAGUGCUGGUCUCGUACUACAUCAAAAGUUUGUAUCAAAACUUUUGUGGGCAACUGAAUUAGAUUUUUGGGGAGCAUUUGAUCACUUAAAUAUAGCCCCAUGGAGGUUUACACAUCUUGUAAAAUAGAAUUAAACUGUCAGCUUUGUAUUCAGAAAUUCUUGAGUUACUUAUGGAGUCAGAAAAUAAGUUACCAACAGGAGGUGGCACACAAUAGAGAAGUGGGCAUUUCUGUUUCCUUCAACUCAGAUUCUUUCACGUUCUAUCUUUAGUUCCAUAGCCCCUGUUAGUUUUUCCUACUCCAGGAAGAGCAAGUCGGCUCAGGAGGCUACUCUGGGUCAGGUUAUUUUAUCUGUUUUCUGUAUGGCUGAAAUUUUGAUGGCUAUAGCUUUUUAUUUUAGACUUUAUCCCUCCAGUAGUUCUGCAGUGGAUUCACAACAGCACCUUUAUACUACUGAAGUGAUCAUUAUGAUUAUUUUAUUAUUCAUAUUACCAUGUAACUUGUGUAGCCUGUCUCUAGUCAUAGUGUCAGGUCAUGGACCAGAUGGCAAUCCCUGGCCAUAGUAAUGGGGCUUUCCCUGCAUAUCACAAAAGCUGCAUGUUGCUUCAAAGGCCUUUACCAGCUCACUUGGAUGAAGACUGCAGCCCUGGGCCAUAGACAAAGGUUGCAAAAUGCCACAAACAUAGUAAGAAGGAAGUUUCUGGUAUUCCUCCUUGAUUCAACCAUGUGAUGACUCCAUCCCAUAAAUCAGAGACAUAAUGUAAAACAGAACUUGUCUGCUCUUCCACACCCCAAAAAGUAAGCAGUAGGAAUACUGAUGUUCAUAUUGUGCCUUUAGGGAGCCUCUAGCUCAUGUGGGCUAUUUUUGUGGGCAUUGUGGGAAGCUAUCCCCCUCUCCUCUUGUCUCCUCUGCAGUUAGAUUCUGAAGGAGGAGAACAGGGAUCUUCUCUGCUAAAACUUUUCCAAGGGUCCCUAACCAUGAUUGUCUUCACUAACUACAGCAGACACUCUGAAAAUGUGUCUGGAAUCUCCUCAUGUCACUUCUCUAAAAGAGAUUUUUUUAAAAAAAAAGUAAGAUUUUUGUGUGUUACCUAUGUGCAUGCCAUUGCAUUUUCUUGGAAAUACUUCCCUUCCUAAUUAUUUCAGAAAGAUAAAAUGGCCAGAAGUGCCACAAGCAUCAAGAGACAACAGAGGCUGCCAGCAGAGGAAGCAUGGAAGGCUGCUGGGAGUGUCUGCUAAUAUGCUUGCCAGAUCCUACAGAGGAAGGGCAAGAAGAAGCCAUGAAUGAAAAAGGGGUUGUAGUAGUUGGUAGGUCAGGCAUAUAGACUGGCUACCUCUGCUUUUCCCUGAGACCUUGGACGAGAGCAAGGAUCCCCUGUAGGGAUUGUGAACAGGUUUCAUGAGUUACGACCAUCCCUCCUCCCCCCCCCCAUAUUUUUUCUUUUUGUGGUUUUUCUAGUCCUUGUGUUUGCAGAGAUAAUAUAAAAAAUGAACUAAAUAUGCAGUGAUUGACAGCUUGAAUAACUCUGAUAUGUGAACUUCCCAUUCUUCUCAAGCAGGGCUGCGGACUCUUCAAUUUUGUUGCCAUGGAAUCAGGUUUUUCCCAUGAUGCCAUUAAAUGGAGAAUUCUGUCAUCUCAUUAAUUUAUUCUUCUGCAUCCAGGCAUCCAUUGUUUUUUUUCCCCCUGUCUCCCUAUCCUGCUGGGACCUGCAGCCUCUUGCUCUCCCAGCUUCCCCUCAAGGUGAAGUUAAUUGAAUUACAGUAUGUCUAUCCUGCACUGUUCCAUGGAGAUGGACAAGGCAGUCCCAACCACCCUCCCUUUCUUUCCCUCUCCUGUAGAUCUGUUUCUUGCAGCCUGGCUUUUUGUUCUAAUGGACUCAGAUCUAAAUGCAUAUCAGAAUGCUUGAGACCUACCCACAAUGCUUCAAAGAGGCUGUUGCAGUAGUUAGCAAAGUAUUUUGGGAUAUGCAUAGAGCUAAUAAUAGGAAGGAGCACUGAGCUGUUUCAAGAUCUAACAUCCAUCUUUACAAAAGAAAUGCAUAGAAUUCUUCAAGCAAAAGCUUAUAAGUUUUCAAAACCAGAAGAUUGUUUUAUUAAUGGCAAUACUACGAACAUGAAAGCCCUUAAGUAUUAUAUUUAGUGUUACUGUGAAUAGUGAAAGCCGCCAAGCCUCAUUAUAAUUUGAGGAACCAUUAAUAGCUCUCUGUAUCUUGAAUAUUAUCAGUGUUUUGUUGGGAUCUGCUGCUGCUGUUAGUCAGUUCAAGCCAUUCUCUUUUCAGUGAUGCAGUCCGCUGUCAGAUUCACAACAUGGCUGCAGACGUCUGUGAACUUCUUAGUACAAUGGAUGAAGGUUGAGAUCCACUGAAUUUAGAGACCUCCCAGAUUAAAUCAACCUGUGACUGUACCCUCAGUAUAGACGAGGUUGUUUGGUUUACACUUGCUAUGGUUUUUCAGGGAAGAAAACAACUCUGUCCUUCCCAUCUCACCUCCCUAUAGACAUCUUGUUAAAUCUUAUAAUCCCAUAUUUUCUAUUUUAAAAGUCAAUAGCUGGAAAUGUAUCAAUCUAAACCAAAAUUAGCAUCAUUUUGUAUGCCACUUCACCAGCAAUGUGCUGCAAAGCUUUGAUUAUUGUCAGUACAGGUCUGCAUACUUCAGUAAACAUGAAUCUCAGCACCAAAGUCAGAACCCUCUGGAAAGUUCUACCCGUAUGGGUCUAAAUAUUGAGAUUUCAGGUAAGGAGCUGUGGCCCAGAAUUCUGUUUUUCCAACCUCCAAAGCCAUAAGGUUGGAACUCCAUUUGAAAAUUUCAGUCAGUACAGAAUAGUACAUAGGGCUUGCACAAAGAAUUAUGUGGCUAUAUAAGCAGUUGCAUAACUUCUGCCUUUUGAUGGAGCAGUUGAGACUGAACCAGGCAGUGAUAGAGGAUGAAGGAAAUGCAGGUGUCAGGGACAGCCUUUUAUAGAGCCCUAUGGGAUCAGAAGCCCUGAUGGAGGGAUCUUGGAAGCUAUGCAGGACAUAGCUAUGUGUAACUCCUGAAAGUGCAGAGAAGAAGCACUAAGUACCUUAGGAGCUCCAUUUGAAUGUAGCUAGGGGCAGGCUGACCUUUCUCCUGCACACUUCAAGCAUGAUGCAGCUGUGGAUG